CGCAGAGCACCAUCCCCUGGUCCGCUUGGAUAUCUUCGCUGCCAUCCUGUGAGAUCUGAAGCGAUACCCAAAGAUGGGCUCACCCAUGUUGAAGAUUUUAAUCCGAGGACAUUUAGAGAGAGCUUUAGAAAACUAUAAUAUUAAAGAGGCCAGAGGGGCCAGGGAUUUAGCUCGGUGGUGUAAGCACCAGGUCGAUUCCUGGUACCUCCCCCCACCCCAAAAAAAUGAGAGAUCUAUCACCUCUGAACCCACUUCAGAUACUGCAAGUUGUGUUUCUGAAACACCAAAGCACACACUAGGCACGACUUUCUGAAUAAAAGCUCACUGCCUUUUGAAAAGUUCUUAUACAAAACUAAUUUGAUUUUUCUAUUUGUUCCCUGUGUUACUUUCAUUUCCCAGAAACCAAUUUCAGAGGUAAACAGUUAUCUGUCAAAUUCCCUCGAUUUAGCAAAUGUAAUAUAAUUGUAUAAUUCUUCACUGUUUCCCAAUUACUCUUCUGCUUAUGUGUCAGAUUGCUGGAGGAACACAUUUAUUCAUGACAUUAACUUGUUGAUCUAAAUCCCAGGCAACUUAGUUUCCAAAUAAAUUGACAUUUAUAAUCUUUUAACGCGAUACUACCAAUUUAAGGGACAUAUUUAUCGUGGGAAUUUAAGCACAUGGAUUUAUUUCCCUUAUUACUUUGUAGGCUGUUUUAUUUCAAUAGUUCUCAGACUAUUGCUUAUACUUUAGGGAAACUCCUUGCAAACUUAAGUAUUUUCUAUGGUCAUUUUUAACUCUCAUCAGAAAUAUCAGGUGAUGAAGUACAGAUUUUAGAUUUUGUUUGUUAUUAAUGUGAAUAGGAAGCCCAAUUGGUAUAUUUAUGUUAAGUCAAUAUAGAUACUAACAAAGUUAGCUUUCAAACGUGUGUGUUAUUAGCUUAGACUCACAAGACAUGAAAAAUAGCUGCUAAAACCAUUUGAACUACACAGCCGAGUAAGUCACAGUAUAAUAAUUCUAUGUCUCAGGAGUUGAUAAGCUUUUUGCAUCAUAUUUUCUGUCUAAUUUCAUCAAAGAAAUUCCAUGCAAAAGAUUAGGAAUUUUUAUGUCUUUGAAAUCAGUUCGGUUCAAAGACCCCCAUCCUUGUUCUCCAAGUGGUGCUUCCACCACUCGGGGAAGCAUGUUCUCCUGGAGUCACCGCUGGCGCAGACGGGUGAUGAUGACAGGAAGUUGUCAUUCUUUUCACCUCACUGUGUCACCCCAUCCUGCACCUUCUACACGAUUAAAUUGCUGUUAUUUUAUUUGAUUUACCACAGCCAUUUGGAUUGUGAAUGACCUCACUGAUGAAGAAUCAAGGCUUUAAUUUGUCAUGGAGAAAGUAUCAGAUUCAAGAGUGUAUGUUUUUAUUACUGAUUUUGUCCAGAAAUAGAAUUUCAUGCUUAUUUUCAAAAGAGAAAAAUCAACUUUGUGAAUGUUCGGCACGUAACACACCACUGUAGUUUCUUUUGCUGUUUUGAUGGCCUGUGGGGUUGUACAUAAGACCCCCACCAAGACCCGAUUUCCUACAAGUGAAUCAAUUUCUGCAAUACCAUUGAGGAAAUUAAAAACCAAUCUCUUGGCGUUUUAUUUUAUUUCAUUUUAUUAUUUUUAAGAGAAGAUCUCACCCAGCAAGGCCAAGCCCUGGGGAUGUCGAUAAGAAUUGAGUUUCCUUUCUAUGCAACUUCCUCAAGGUCAGUAUUCAACUCCGUUGUUUUCACAAUAAAGCAGCUGACCUCAUGUAACAUCUGUCGCUAUGGUGACAGUGGGACAACAGUAGCCAGCAAAGCUCCUGGUGCCUUUCCAAAUUGGCCUGCUGGAAGGCGUGGCCUGCACAGAAGCAACAGCAAAGCAUGUAAGGAAAGCCAGAGGUCUGAGAGGCCGGCCACCCGUGGGCUCUCCACAUGAGGGGCCAGAGCCUCUGCCGGGAGCAGUGUCCCUGGGCCAGCCUUGCACCUGGAGGGAAAGAGGGCUAGAUGGACACAGCUCAGCACAAACAGAGAUGUUAGGAUGUCAGGUCGUCUAAAUCGAAGUACACUUCUGAAAAGAAAGGUGAGGUGGCAAUCGAAUAAAGGCACAAGCAGGAAAGCAGAGGAGAUAGGAGAGUGCUCUCUGCCCUAGGGGAGUUAACAGAGCCCCUGUGACUAACCAGGGGCAAAGCAUUAGCUUUGCACGCAGUGACACCCAUGUGCUGGGUAGGAUUCUCUGAGCGUCAAUACAAAUAUGGAGACUUGUACGUAAGUUGCUAGCAUAGGUUAGCUUGAUGACUGUGUCUGUGUGCUGGGGGGUGAACAAGGCAGCCAUGGGCAAAUGGGGAUGCAGAAAAAGUAAGAUGAAGCAUUUCAUCACAGUUUCAAAGGUCUUUAAGAUUAUUUAAAAAAAAAAGAUGUAAAAGACAUCAACUCUCUUUAGACUUCCAAGGGGCUUAAUUAAUGAUCCCUUAAUUAAUCACUUGCUCAAAGUGGUACACGCAGACAUGACCACUGAGGCCCUGAAGUAGACUGGAAGACUCUAUGUGGGUCAUUCUGUGUCACCCCAGAGCCCCAGUAAUCCGUUCAAGGUCUUUUCCCCAUCAGUUUUCUAAGAGAGCAGGAAAGGAGGUGAGGAAGGAAGAAUGGUGGUGAUGCCAGAAUUAACUGCCUGGAGACAGACCAAGCCCAGCAUCACACUAAGGGUUAAAAACCAUCCAGUGAUUUGAGGAACUUGUAAGAGGCCUCAUUUAAAAAUCUCUUGCUUAUACAUGCUUCAGAUUUCGUCCGGCAUCACGCAAGGGAUGGAAAAAUCAGCUUAUGGACAACAAUUCUACUGGUUGCUCUAUCUGAUGUAUCGUUCUAGUUCUAGUUAUUUAUCGUAGUCUAACAAACCAUUCCAACACUUCCUGACAUAGUGACAUACUGACAAUCACCAGGAUGUCAAGGAUUCAGGAAAGCUUUAGCUGGGCAAUUUUGGUUCAAGGUCUCUCGUAGGGUACAGUGGGCGGGUGGUUUGGGGUAGUGGGAUUUGGAACAGCUGGGGGCUGGCCCGGGGUCUCUCUCUGUCCACCCACACGCAUGUGUACGUGUGUAUGAAUAACAGGUAUAGGUGAAGGUGGAAAUAGAGGUCUCUGAGAGGCUGGUUUUGCCUUGCGCAGGUAGUCGAAGUGCUGAUGUGGCAGCUGAGACCUUAGGACUGCAUUUCAGCUUUAAAAGCGAGGAUUCCAGCUGGGGAGGUAGAGGCUGCCAUAGACGGAGCUGAUUCUGAAGUCUUUGGGUGGUUACAAGUGAGCCACGCCGGCCAGGAAGGGCACUGGCGCUCCAAACCACGUGGCACUGCAGAGGGGGCCGCGGACAUCCUCAAGGAACACAAUCUGUGACGUCUGCACGUUUGUAGAAAAUCAAAGUUUCAGAAUGACAAAGGAAAACAUUUUUUAAAAAAAAGUCAGAAGACAAUGACACAGCGGGGGAAGUGUCUGCCAUGCACAUAACAAAGGAUUGGAUUUCAAGGCGCUUUGGCAGGAGUGCAGGCAAAGUGUAACCUUGAAAAGUGAUCAGAGGUGCGAACUUGCAGGCAUGAAGCCUGUUAAUCUCUAUAACCAUAAAAAAAGAAAGAAAGAAAGCCGUCCUGAAUUGAGGAUGCCCAUAACAGCCCACGGCAAACAUGAGACGCCUUUAGGGGGAAAAAGCAACUUUCCUUCAUUUUUCCCAAGGUCCAUGGCUCAUACAGCUCCCCCACAGACGAGAGGACUGCAGAGACCCGCCUGACCAUGCAUUUGCUGAGUUGUAUGUGGCCUGGCUGCGUUCCAAGGGAAGACCUCAAGGCUCAGGGAACACUGUACUUUUCUGCUAAGAGUCAUGAGGGAGGUGGCAGCUGUAGAGCAACUGGACUGGACAGAAAGGGUUAGGACCUAAGGGUCUAAGCUGGGAAGCAGCUUCCUCGAGGCCGGGCCAUUCCCGUGUCUCUGUGGGGUCCCCACUCCCUGGUGUGGGGCGGGACACCUGAGGAUGGUCACAGGCAAGAGGAGGAGGUCAGAGAGUGACCUGAUUCAUGGAGGGACUUGCUUGGGGGACAGAACUGCAGUCUCUGCCUUGUGCUCCUGGGCAAUGGGGUGGGGGCGGGGACCCGAGAAAAGUGAAGCUCAGACCUUUGGGUUUGGGGAGCUGGGUUCUGCUAGGAAAGCGCAGCCUGCCAAGGUAAAGCCUUCUGAGCUCUGACAGGGCCAGUACUGUUCUAACCUUCCCGGCCACCUGGUGAAUGUAAGUUAAGAUAAAAAAUGAACCACUGUCAUUAAUCAUUGUUAGAUUCCGAAAUGAAAAUGUUGAUAAUAUUGAACAGUAGCAGAACAGGCUGCCCCCCCGCAAAUAUGCUACUUUGGCAUAGUGUUAUUUUGAGCUGAAAGUAAUUGAGAUAAAACAAAUAGAAGGAAAACUCUCUGUCCCCUCUCCUUUUGCCUAAAAGUAGGGUAUAAGUUUGUCGAGAUAGAUCCCCUCUACUCUUCACCAAGGAUAGCGUUAAUUACUAGACACAACUCUAGACCUUAUUGGAACACCAGAGGAAUCUAUGGAAAAAAAUUCACUAAGUAGCUUGUAUUGAACAUUAGCUUCCUUGAAAUAUUUCCUUCUUACAGUUCGUAGUCCCAGAAACUCAAAGGCCUUUUAGUUUUUCUCAUCAUUUGUUGAAAACUUCAGUCAUUUGAUUGCUAUGGCUGAGUGUAUCUGUGUGUAUACAUCGUGAAUAUAUUGAUUUUUUUUUUGCUUGUUUUAUUCCUGUUAAUCAGACUGAAGUUAGAGUCCCUGCUUGAUUACCUUAGAUGUUUCCUCCUCUACAGUAUCAAAUCCUGGCCUUGAUGUGAGACACUCACACAGGCUGUAGGUGUGCUUAUAAAUUGCUAUAAUCUGGCAUUUUAAUUAAAUUAAAAAUAAGUAUGUCUUUAACAUAAUGCUUAUGCUUUCGAGCAUUUAUUUAACAAAUAAAAAUUUACAUCAAAGAAUGUUUAUUAUGCCCAUUUUCUGUUCACAAAAAUAGAAAAAAAUGGAACCUUUUUAAUAAGCUACUAGCUGAAUUUUAGCUUAUAGAAUAUUAUAUGGCUAAGUAAAAAUAAUGAGAUAUAUUUGUUUUAGGCAUAUAUCAAUAUAUGAUAAAAUGAAAAAAGUUAAAGAUAUUAUAUACAAAAUACAGAUACAUACAUAUAAAUAUAUGAGUUUAUAAAUGAUUUUAUCUGCAAAUAAUUUGGUUUGCAAGCCAAAGUUUUGGCAAAAUUUUGUUUUUGUUUGCCUCUAUAUUGGGUGAUAAACACUCCUGCAGCAAAUUUUCCCACAAAACACAAACAGCCAUCUUUUUCAGAACCAUGGAAAAAAUUAAGUUUGUGAACCAAAGUACCCCUGCACCGUCCUUUAUAAUAUUAAAAAUAAAUUGUUAAGAACUAUUUGUGUAUGCGAUUCUUGAAGUAGAGGAAGAAGCAUAGAAAGAUCCAUUUGAAACUGCUGGGAUUCACAAAGUGCUGUUAGCACCCAUUUGCAGUGAGAUUACAGGGGAAACGAUUUUACAUCAUCAACGUUUUUGUCUUUGAAAUUGUUUCUGUAACAUGCCUUCUUGGUAUUUGAUCCAAAAGACUCACAAAAAGAAAUGGCCAUCACAUGUGUGGGCUAGCCUUGCUUUGGGUACAAAUAAAUGUGUGUUGAAUGAAGAAAUAACUGUGUUAGAGCCACUGUCAUUCAAGGCAUGUAUGCAUUUCCUGCAUAAAGGAGCCUCGGACUUCUAUAGUUAAAAACCAAAGGAAUAAUAGAAUCCAGGAAGAUUGUUUGGUAACUCACGUUUCUGUUUUGAUAAAUCAGUCCCAUGUAGCAUCCAUUAUCAAAAUGAUUCUGCUCAGGAACAACAAGAACACAUGAAAAAAAGCCCUUUAUCCAGGCGAUGGAUCAAAGGCUUGAUUUGGUUCCCUGCCCAAACUGACUCAAAUUCUCACUUCACACAAUUAGAGUUCUUUAUUGCCUUUCAUUACAGAAUGCUUUCCUGAAGGAGUAGACAAUUUUUUGAGAAAGCCUAAUUUUGUAGAACAAUUUUAAAAAAUUAUAGCGCCUCAUUCAUCUGAAGAUUGCAUUGGAACAAAAUCCAAGAACAGCUUAUAGUCUGAGUCCUACUGUAAGAGAUGUCAUUAUAAAUCCACUCAUAUCUACAAAGCACCAGGUAAGAGUCUUUAUUUCUAAUCAGUAUGUGAUUUUCAUCAUCUGGUUUCAACAAUGGCUUAAUUUUUUAUGAAAAUAACAGUUUUCUUCCCGCCUGCAUUGUCAUCUUUAUUUGAAGUGUGUGGGUGUGAACUACACUCCUUCCUAAGUCAGAAAGGUAAUGGUACCCUCUUCAGUUUUGGGGUCUCUCCCUGAUGCAUCCUGUUAGCAGUGCUCCUGGAUGGCGACUUCAUUUUCCCUCAUGCAGCAAACAACACCUCUGCACGUAACACGGGCACACAUAUGAACAGCAUGUCUCCCAUACAGAGCGGGCACCUCAGACACAGAUAGUUCCUGUGAGCUGCUGUUCCUGAUUCCUGUGCAUCUGUACCCAUCCUUACUGCAGAAAGCCAUACUCCAUAAGAAACGAGAAUGAAUCUUGGGCUCCCACUCAGAGAAGUACAGAGGAAGGGGGCUAUGCACAUCUGGUCUGUGUAUCUGCAUAACAGGCUUGGGAAGAGCUCAUGGUGACUCUGAGAGUGUUUCCUUGUUUGUUUUUUUCAGUGCUGGGGAGAGAACCGAGGGCCUUGAAUAUGCUAGGUGAGAGGUCUACCACUGGGCUAUGCCUUCCCCACAACCUGAGGGGGUUUGAGAAGGUGAAAUACAUUAAAACAGGAUCUUGUGCAGACAGGGGAUUGUCUCUGGAAGAAGGAGUCUCAACCAAGGACAAAAGCUGAGGUCUUCCCACAUACACAAGCAAGCACGCAGGCUUCUUCUGGUGGUUAACAGGCUUGGAGAGAAGCUUGGAGCCCAGGGACACACAGUGCUGCAUGUUUUCUCUGGAGACAAGCAUUCUUUAGAGAGACUGGCUCUGUGGAAACUACUUUGACUCUGUAAUUAGGAAGUAAGAUAGAGAACAACAGCCCAAAUGAUGAAAUCCCAGUGUGUAAGACCCAGACCUCGGACAAUUAGCGGAGCCUGGGAAUGUGGAAUACUGAAGAAAUGGCUAUUUCCAUGGAGAGCAGUCUAAAAUAUACAGAACAGGGCACAAUGCAGAUGUCGGACAAAGAAAGAAAAUUAAGAGCAGAUGAGGAAAAAGAUCAUUCUUCCAACGAUGUUUGACUAAUGACUUUAGUAACUUCUAAUAAGAAAGAUACAAAGUCAUAGGAAAAGCACCAUAAGAUAUUAAAUUUGAAGUUUCAAUACUGUAUUAGCUGUCUUGCUGCUGAGACACAAUAUCAAUCUCCACGAUUUAAAGGGGGAGAUGUAUAAUUUUCCCCGGGGUUUCAGCACUGCAUGGGUACGUGGUUGUCUGGCCCCAAGGCAGGAGCGUCAUGAUGGAAGGACAUGGUGAAGCAUAGCCAGCAGGAAGCAGAGGAGGAACACAGGACUAGACAGGAAGGAGCAAGAUGCACCAGAACACAGGCCAAGAACCAUCACCUCCUCAGACAUGCUGAGAAGUUUGCUAUGCUGGUUUCCCAGGCAUUUAUUAGCUCAGUUACAUUGACAUAUCACAAUUAAUGGCCACAGUCCACCCCUUGCCAGCUUGACAGUCAGACACAUUUCUUUAAAUUAUACUUAAUCUCCAGAGGAAGACAAUAGCACAUUCAUAAUUCUGCCUCACAUGAUAUAACUGUCCUGUGUAUAAAUGAGAAUGCAACAAUCCCUUCCUCAAAGGCUCUUCUUCUAGUAGCUUUCAAAAGUCCAAGUCCAAGUCUCUUCUGAGGCUCAAGAUAAAUUCUUAGCUGUGAGCCUAUAUAAAAAUCAAGAACAAAUCAUACUAAUUUCAAAUUACAAUGGUAUAGGGUAAACAUACACACUCCAAAAUGAAGAAAAAACAGGAUAGAUACUAGAAUAAAACACAACAAGGCAAAAAUUAAGUCUGUAGUUCCAUACUCAGCAUCUGUGGCACAUGGUGGUGAGAUGUGUGAGAACCAAGAAGCCAACUUAUGCCUUGCCAUGAUCCAGCUGGUGCAUGGGCUGGGAGACAAGCAAAGUCCUCCCCCAACACUGUUUGUAACCAGCUGAUUUGGAGAAAUACAGGCUGAGAUGAUGGCAACUGAAUUAAAAAAAAAAACCCAAAACGACACCUUAUUGCUUGUAUUGUUUGAUUGACUUUGCAGGCUUAAAGGCAGUAGUCUGUGCAUCUGUUUAGAGGAUAACAACAUGCAAUACAGCAGGUGUCAUGGUUUAUGUCUGUGGCCCCCAGGCCUCAUGAGUUUGCAUUGUGCAUUUGUGAUUGGUUCAUUGUCUAGUGCUUGGAUUGAUGGUGUCAGUGCUCCACCCACAAAGGGGUGGAGCCAGGAUGUAAUGUAAUGGCAGGAAGAAGGUGUGUCUUGCUCUUUGCUGGUUCCUGCUUGUUGUUUACAGCCGCCAUGAACUGCGGCCCAGCCAUGCCCGCCUGCUUUGGAGCCAACUGAGUGUGGACUGAAACCUCCAAAGACUAUAAGAAAUAAACCUUUCCUUUCUCAACUUAGGCUUCAGGUAUUUUGUCUUAGCGACAAGUAAAAAGUAACUAAGACAGCAGGUAUGGGGGUUUCCUUCUGUCUUGUUUUUGAAAUCCAAUAUUGGUCUCACUGUUUUAUUGUUUUGUUUAAUUUCCUUAAAAAGAAGUCAGCAUUAUGUAGAUAAUGCCAAGGUCUGCUGGCCACAGGAACAGUAGCUAGGCCCCAUUAGACUGUGGUUGUAACCUCCUCCAAGUGCCUGGAUGACUGAGCUCAGGGAAAUGAACUCUCAGGGAUCAAUCAGUUCUCUAGGAGGCCUUUCUUAAGCAGGCACCCCCUGGGCUCUUUCCUUAAAGGAAAAGUUUGCUUUGCACCUUUGAGCUUGUGAUGGAUGGAAUCUUGCUAAUUUCUUGUAUGUCCUCAUGCAUCGUUCUUCUUGUCCCUGUACAAAGUACUUCUUAAAAAUUAUUAUUAAUAGUGAUGAUCUCUGACUACCACAGCAGCUUUGGCCCCAUCUUUACACAUGGUUACUUCUGGGCCAGUUUAUGUUUUUCAUAUUUUUCUGCUCUGCAUUUUGCCUCCAAUUCCCACUAAAAGUCUGGCUAAAAGCAACCAGUGUACUCAUGCCACAUCCUGAAUGUUGGACUACUUUAAACUUUGCCUACCAGAUCAGGCAUGGUGGCACACACUGUAAUCUUAGCACAGGAGGCUGAGGCAGGGAGAUUCUCAUGAGUGCAGGAUGCUGAGGCAGGAGGAUUCCAAGACAAAGGCCACCUGGGCUACAUAGUAAGUCUGAGACCACCCUAAACUAUGUAACAAGAGCCUGUCUUGAAAAAAAUUUUUUUUGUCCACCAGAUCAAUUAGUCCCCCACCUUUAAUGUCAAUAUCUUGCUAAGUCUCAGGACAUAAGCAAAAUGUAGACUUUUUUUCCCUUAGUGUAACACAAAAAGCUUGUAGUGCAAUUGCCAAUGGGACUCUGCUUCCCAAAUGAAGCCUCCUGAGCCUGGCCUUGACUGUCCACACAGUUGUCAGCAUUUUGGCCUUCUGCACUCUGGCCAGCAUAGGCUUUCUGCAGCCCAAUUCUCCAAACUUUCCACACUUGUCCUGAAAACCAAUUCCAAAGGCUUCUAAACCACAUGGUCAAGUACAGGCAUACAAUGUCUACCAAUUGUCCGGGCCUCUGGGUAAGUCCACAGAGACCCUAGAGGGGAAGCGGGGAUGAAAGGGGACAAGAGACGCAAAGAAUGGAGACAAGACAGAAGUCCAAUCAAGUCUCAUUUAUUCAAGGAAAAAGUAACAAAUAUAUAGGGUAUUAGGGAGGAGGGAGUUGGGUUCUGAGAUGUCAGUAGGUAACUUAGCAACAGUGGCAAGACUGAGGGUUAUAGGUUAAAUCAAAUUUUCAAAUUUCCCGUGCAGCUCAUAAGCAUAAUCCCUGAAUGGGCCAAACAAGGUAGGCAAGGAGCUGCUUAACUACCAAACUUAACUGCUAGAGGGCGUUAAGGUGGCGCAGCCUGCAGACAUAAGGUGAAAGCCAAUUACAGGGCUUCCCACAACCAAUCUUUGCAUUAGUCAGCUUUUUUCAUUACUGAGACACAACCCCAGCACCCACCUUAAAGGAGGAGAGGUUUCAUUAGGCUCGUGGUUUCAGGACAGUCAAUUCAUGGGCAGCUGGCCCCAAGGCAGAGACAUCACGGUGGGGGGUGGGGGGGUGGAGCAAAGAUGCUUGGUUUGUGGUGACUGGGAAGCAGAACAGGAACUGCAACAUAGAGGAAGGGCCAAGGGCCAUGCAUAGUACCCAUAGUCAGGCACCCACGACCCACACAGACACACCCACAACGUGUUUUAGUAGUUCCCCGGGUCUUCUUAAUUCAGUCAUGUUGCAUCUCACAGAGGCUCUUGACCAUUUAGAUACAUUCAUGGUUAAAUGGCCUAAGUUGCUUUAUGUAAUUGUCUUUUGUUUGUGUAGACUUAUGCAUUCUUAUCUCUCUCCUCAGGUUUGGAUCCAAUGGAGGCCGUCUCUGGCUCAGAGUACUGUAGGCUCCAAUUACAGAAUUAUGGCCGUUGGUACUCCAACAGACUUCAGCCCCAGGUUUCAGCGCUCCUUAGAGCUCCCCUUGGAAUGGCCAUUAUGUGGCUUUCUGGUGCAUUCCUAACAUAGGUACAUGAGCCGAGCCAGAGAAUGCAGGGAUGUUUUUAGAGAUGGUCACUACCCAGGCUAUCAAUUAUUAGCGAGCUGAUUAAUUAAGGAACUAAGGCAAAAAUUCAACUAGAAUCACAUAUAAAAUUUUUUCUCAUUACUACUUACCAAUAAAAAGGAAUGCAAUGACAAUAAUAAUCUGGUUGGAUCUCAGAGAAUUUUGCAGAGUGGAAAAAAGCCAAUCCCAUAAGGUUACAAAUAGUACGAUUUCAUCAUAUAACACCCUAGAAAUAACUAAGGUUAGAUUAUGUGCAUAGUCAUUUCAGGGUUUAGAGAUAGGGGCAAGAAAUAAUUCGGCUAUGAAAGAACAACAAAAAAAGAGCCUAUGGUGACAAAAGAAGGCCGUCUCUUGACUGUCAGUACCACCAUGGCCAACUCAUGACCUUAAACCAUGAAUUUACAAAACGGUACCAGGAGGGAAUGUGGCUGAGGGUGUAUGGGGUCUCUCUAUAUUACAUGAAGGUAUAAUUACCUCAAAAUAAAAGAAUUUUUUUCAGGCAUGAAUACAUUCUCCAAGGAAAGGUUUUACAAACUCAUAGUUUUUAAUAAAUUCCAAUUUGGUCGCAGACCUGGAAUCUGACUUUUACCUAAGAAACUAGGUGAAUCUGAGGCAGAGUGGCCUGCUGCACACACUUGGAGACAAGUUGCUUUAGGAAAUGUGGGCUCCUGAGCUAAGCAAUUUGUUGUAAAUUAGUGGGCAAACCAGUGAGAUUUCACAGCAGAUACUGCCUGUGACUGAGAUACAGCUGUGUGCAGGCAGAGUUUCCUUGGCCUCGUUGUCUUGGUCCUUUGGGCUGUUGUAAGCAUUUCCCACACUGUGCAAAGAUCUCUUCUUAAGGAGGUGGGAAAAUCAGUCUGAAAUAAAUAUAGAAAAGGAGAACAUGGAACUUUUUAUUCAUGAAGAGUAAAAAUAAUACCCUGAAUUCAGCUUUGCCACCAAAAUGAGUAAAUCAACGGAAAUAAAAGCUAAACUAGACAGAAAAGCACGCCAGCAAAAGGAGGCUGCGGGAAUUGUGAAAAAGUCAGCAAAACACACCAUCGAGAGAGAAGCAGGCUUCCAGGUACAGGGGUGACCUGAAGGCCCCCAGACCUCUUCUCUUUGUGGGGGUGCUGUUUUAGCCAUGGGUGUAACCCUAAGCGUUCAUGUGUUCCUUUUUUAUUUUCUGAGUAUAAGCUUAUGACAGAGAAAGAGUUUUGGGUUCACCUGCAGAAAUAAGAAACGCAUGCACUUCUGAAAAAAACAAUUCAUACAAGAGCCCAGCGUAGGAAAUGUAUGGAGCUCUUGUUUCUCCUGGGUUUGCUGAGCAUGGAAAUCCCAGAGAUUUAUCCUGCUUCAACUCUAAGUCUGCAGUGGAUUCUUCUUACCUUCUAGUCCCCACAAGAAGACUCAUACCUGCUUCUCAAGGUCGGUUCACUGCACGAGCGUGCUGACUGCUGACAGGGGCAGUGCAAGACCAAAUUCAAGCUGGGGUGCGGGCUUCUUAGAUACUGGAAGAGGGCUGGGGCACACCCAGAUGAGCCCAAACCAAGUGGAAGAGCAGGCAAAGUUGGGCUCCCCACCAAGGUGAGAGCCAGAAAGCAGAACGUCCUGGCAGCCCCAGGCCUGGGCUGCAAAGAGAGCCUCAUCUCCUACAGUGGAACCGCCAGGAGCAUCACAAUGUACGGAAGCUGCUGAGCAGAGUUAGCGGUGCCUGCACUAUGCAUGGCUGAGGGGUUUUAUUAUUAUUAUUACUAUUAUUGUUAUAUUUUGCAGAGUUUCAAAUGAGUUUUGCAUUCCAAAUGAGGAAUAACUGUUUUUCCCCUGUUCUGCCUCUGUAAAUCUUAAAUUUUUCAUCAUAAAAACUUCUUCAGACCAGUGAAGAAUGACUUUGCCUUUUGUGAUUUUUUUUUCACAAGCACUGCGCAGAUAUUUAACAAAUAGGAAAGA
Molecule: long non-coding RNA, 12720 nt
Organism: Cavia porcellus (domestic guinea pig)
Lineage: Eukaryota; Metazoa; Chordata; Mammalia; Rodentia; Caviidae
Exons: 3
Source: RefSeq, a predicted model, not a curated record